CGACUCCGAAGGUAAUCGUCUGGACACAAGCAAAGCGCCCUGGGGCUGCGCUCCGACCUCAAAACCCCUCCCGAAAGAAGCCCCCGCCUUUUUUCCCAGCUCGCCCACCUCCCUGCCGGCCCCUCUCGGGCCGCGCCACUCCGGCAACUUCUGCAGCCAGCCCGCCCGCCGCCCGCGACCCCCUCCCGGCCCAGCGAGCCCUCCGCGCCCUCCCCCCCGCGGCGGCGGCCCCCGCGCCGCCCGCGCCUCCGCGCCGCCCGCGCGGGUCCUCGCCCCCUUCCCCCGAGGCCCCCGCCCGCGGCACCGCCCCCGCCGCACCCCACCCAGCCCGGGACCCCAGCCCACCCGGCCCCACCCGGGAAGGAGGGAGCCGCGGCCGCGCCGGGGCCCGCGAGCGCCAACACGGAGAGGGCUUUACCUCAGAGGCGCGGCCGCGAGCAGCGGGGUCGGUCCCGGGCGCGGGCGGCGCCCCCCGGUCCGUCAGUCAGCGGCGGCGGGGGCAGCGGCGGCGACGGCACAUCACACCCGCCGGGGCCGGAGGAGGAAAGCGAGCCGCGCAGGGAGGGAGCGAGCGAGAGAGCGAGGUAGGGGGGAAGGAACGAGCGAGGGAGGGAACGCCGCUCGGCUCGGACUCGGUCCCUGCACUACUGCCGGUGCCUCCUACCGCCGCCUCUGGCCGGAGAGUCGCCGCCCGAGUCGCUGCUGUCGCCACCGAUGCAGCCGGGAAUGAAUGCACAGCGGCGCCUCACUUAUCCGGAGGUCAAACAUCCUUCUGCCUCGGGCAUCCGGAUCGGCGCCGGACCCGGAAGUGAACACAUGGAAAAAAAAUAAAAAAGGAAAGCGUCUCUCUAGCGGCGGCUGCCCCGGAGCUGCCCGCAUCGACGAAAAGAGCCGAGUAGAGCCGAACAUUACACUGACGUGCUCGGAUUGGUCGGCUUGCUGACCGGAAGAAAGGCAGCACGCUGAUUGGCUGGCAAGAUUCUCGAGGCUUCCUGCAUUCCCUGUUUUAUAGUCUCGUCCGUCUUCAAAGCCAGCAUCACAUCACACUGAAUUCUGCUUCCGUCAUCACGUCUCCUCUGACUCACUCUCCUCACUUCCUCUUUCACUUAUAAGAAC
RNAcentral lists this long non-coding RNA (1116 nucleotides) under Equus asinus (donkey). Its description in RNAcentral is "lncRNA (ENSEASG00005030102.1)". Lineage: Eukaryota; Metazoa; Chordata; Mammalia; Perissodactyla; Equidae. The record is from RNAcentral.